GCCAGUUCAAACUCCCACCCCACAUGGCACUGUCCAGCUCCGCCAGACACACAGAUCCUGUCUGCACCCUGAGUUCUAUGGCUGCUGCUCAAUGACUGAACGUAACAAAGGCAGCGAGAGAGAGAUUAUCAAUACAGUAUCAAUUCUCCAGUGCCCCCUUCUGCUCCCCCCCCCUCUGCAGGGCUGUGUCUUCACUGACUGAUCAGUCCCUGGGACUGAUUUGCACCAACUUGAUUUUCCACUCUGCAAAACUUAUCGAUAGUGACGUCACGUGGCAAACAAUACACCCUUGGAGAAGGAGAGAGCAAAUCAAUUAACAUGUGUGGCUUGAGACGCUGUGUGAUAAUAAAAAAAUAGUCUCCCCUCCUUUCCCAGGUUGUCUGGUGUUAUAGAGUGCAUACGGCCUGUGCAGUGGGGGGUUCAUGGGUCUACAGUAUGAUUUAUAAUGGAUGUUGUGACUUGAGUGGGGUGAUGCAGUGAAAUGAAUGUAUGCUGUGCACUCUGACUGGGGAUUACA
Non-coding RNA from Pelobates cultripes (western spadefoot toad), 517 nucleotides. The record is from the annotation of a GenBank genome assembly. NCBI's taxonomy places the organism in Eukaryota, Metazoa, Chordata, Amphibia, Anura, Pelobatidae.